GAUGAACGCUGGCGGCGUGCCUAAUACAUGCAAGUCGAGCGGAAAGGCCUCUUCGGAGGUACUCGAGCGGCGGACGGCUGAGUAACACGUAGGAACAUACCCCAAAGUGAGGGAUAAGCACCGGAAACGGUGUCUAAUACCGCAUGUGCUCUAAGGAGUAAAGCUUCGGCGCUUUGGGAAUGGCCUGCGCAUGAUUAGCUUGUUGGUGAGGUAAUGGCUCACCAAGGCGACGAUCAUUAGCUGGUCUGAGAGGAUGAUCAGCCAGACUGGGACUGAGACACGGCCCAGACUCCUACGAGAGGCAGCAGUAGGGAAUUUUCCACAAUGGGCGAAAGCCUGAUGGAACAACGCCACGUGCAGGAUGAAUGCCUUAGGGUUGUAAACUGCUUUUAUAUGUGACGAAUAUGACGGUAGCAUAUGAAUAAGGAUCGGCUAACUCCGUGCCAGCAGCCGCCGUAA
This 459-nucleotide ribosomal RNA is filed under the name uncultured bacterium. RNAcentral's name for it is "partial 16S ribosomal RNA". It matches the Rfam family "Bacterial small subunit ribosomal RNA", at positions 28 to 523 of the family's 1533-position model. The record is from RNAcentral.